This 85-nucleotide transfer RNA is filed under the name Felis catus (domestic cat). It matches the Rfam family "tRNA". Rfam says of the family: Transfer RNA (tRNA) molecules are approximately 80 nucleotides in length. Their secondary structure includes four short double-helical elements and three loops (D, anti-codon, and T loops). The record is from Rfam by way of RNAcentral. RNAcentral also lists the same sequence under 1 other name. Lineage: Eukaryota; Metazoa; Chordata; Mammalia; Carnivora; Felidae.
GCCUGGGUGGCUUAGUCGGUUAAGCGUCUGACUUCAGCUCAGGUCAUGAUCUCAUGGUUUGUGGGUUCGAGCCCCACAUCGGGCU